RNAcentral lists this ribosomal RNA (651 nucleotides) under Clistobothrium cf. montaukensis PB-2001. RNAcentral's name for it is "partial 28S large subunit ribosomal RNA". Lineage: Eukaryota; Metazoa; Platyhelminthes; Cestoda; Phyllobothriidea; Phyllobothriidae. The record is from RNAcentral.
ACAGUACGUGAAACCGCAUGCAGGUAAACGGGUGGCGUCAAGCUGCAAGCCCAGAGGAUUCAGCUGGCUAGGAUGUUGUGUAUGCGCUUGCGCAUCUAUCAGUCAGAAUAAGAUGUGAUAGUCCACUGGUAAACGGUGGGCCCGGCCGCAAGGUUGGGAUAUGUGUACCGGGCGGAAGCCGGAGCAUGCUAUUCGUCUGUUGGGCUGUCUAGUCAGUGCACUUUCUCUGUGGUGAACACCACGACCGGUGGAAUUGCCAGUCUGCUGUAGUCAAGUCGUAUUCAGUCGGUUCUUGUAGCCAACUGGGUGCGAUCACAGGCAAACUCAGUAAACGGCGUAGGGGUGUUUCGGCAUCCUUGCGUGUUAUCGGCUGCUGGUUGUCAACGGGCCUGCCUGAUGAUUGUUGUAACCGUCAUUGGGUGGUCUGGUGGACUAUGGUGGUAAGAAUAACUGUGCAAGGCAUCGGAGUUCUCGGCCUCAAAUGCAUCCUGCAUACACGUUACAAGUGGAGUGGGGUGCCAUUGCAGCCUGCCUGUUGUUGGGUCUGAUUGUCGUGUCGCCUGCGCAAAGUGGGCCCGGCAGUGGCCUGAUGCGGGAUGGGUUGUGGAUGGUGCUUCCUGUGUAGGGUGCGGUGGGUCAAAUAGUCAGUGG